RNAcentral lists this microRNA (21 nucleotides) under Spodoptera frugiperda (fall armyworm). RNAcentral's name for it is "sfr-miR-10454h-3p". Lineage: Eukaryota; Metazoa; Arthropoda; Insecta; Lepidoptera; Noctuidae. The record is from miRBase by way of RNAcentral.
UCAAUGGUCGACUAUUCUGAC